This 1180-nucleotide ribosomal RNA is filed under the name Diatrypaceae sp. CHTAM26. Its description in RNAcentral is "eukaryotic LSU rRNA". The stretch from base 554 to 1180 matches the Rfam family "Eukaryotic large subunit ribosomal RNA", at positions 1 to 670 of the family's 3401-position model. The record is from RNAcentral. Lineage: Eukaryota; Fungi; Ascomycota; Sordariomycetes; Xylariales; Diatrypaceae.
AACAAGGUCUCCGUUGGUGAACCAGCGGAGGGAUCAUUACAGAGUUAUCUAACUCCCAACCCAUGUGAACUUACCUUUGUUGCCUCGGCGGGAGAGCCUACCCGGUACCUACCCUGUAGUUACCCGGGAGCGAGCUGCCCUGCAGCCCGCUGCUGGCCGACCCGCCGGUGGACAGUAAAACUCUUGUUUUUAGUGAAUUAUCUGAGUGUUUAUACUUAAUAAGUUAAAACUUUCAACAACGGAUCUCUUGGUUCUGGCAUCGAUGAAGAACGCAGCGAAAUGCGAUAAGUAAUGUGAAUUGCAGAAUUCAGUGAAUCAUCGAAUCUUUGAACGCACAUUGCGCCCAUUAGUAUUCUAGUGGGCAUGCCUGUUCGAGCGUCAUUUCAACCCUCAAGCCCCAGUUGCUUGGUGUUGGGAGCCUGCACCCCCCCGGGGGAGCAGCUCCUCAAAGCUAUUGGCGGAGUCGUAUUGGCCCUAAGCGUAGUAAUUUUUCCUCGCUUCUAGUGGUUCCAGUGCUGGCGUCCAGCCGUAAAACCCCUAAUUUUCUAGUGGUUGACCUCGGAUCAGGUAGGAAUACCCGCUGAACUUAAGCAUAUCAGUCAACGGCAUGCCUAGUAACGGCGAGUGAAGCGGCAACAGCUCAAAUUUGAAAUCUGGCCCUCUGGGUCCGAGUUGUAAUUUGUAGAGGAUGCUUUUGGUGCAGUGCCUUCCGAGUUCCUUGGAACAGGACGCCUUAGAGGGUGAGAGCCCCGUACGGUUGGACACUAAGCCUCUGUAAAGCUCCUUCGACGAGUCGAGUAGUUUGGGAAUGCUGCUCUAAAUGGGAGGUAAAUUUCUUCUAAAGCUAAAUACCGGCCAGAGACCGAUAGCGCACAAGUAGAGUGAUCGAAAGAUGAAAAGUACUUUGAAAAGAGGGUUAAAUAGCACGUGAAAUUGUUGAAAGGGAAGCGUUUAUGACCAGACCUUUGCCUAGCGGAUCAUCCGGUGUUCUUCACCGGUGCACUUCGCUAGGCUCAGGCCAGCAUCGGUUUCUGUAGGGGGACAAAGACCAUGGGAACGUAGCUCUCUCCGGGGAGUGUUAUAGCCCUAGGUGUAAUACCUUUACGGGGACCGAGGUUCGCGCUUCUGCAAGGAUGCUGGCGUAAUGGUCAUCAAUGACCCGUCUUGAAACCGGAACAAG